AUUGAUCAGGACGUGCUUGCACUGAAUGAGAUUUUAACACGAAGUGAGUGGCGGACGGGUGAGUAACACGUGGGUAACCUGCCCAGAAGCAGGGGAUAACGCCUGGAAACAGAUGCUAAUACCGUAUAACAGAGAAAACCGCCUUGGUUUUCUUUUAAAAGAUGGCUCUGCUAUCACUUCUGGAUGGACCCGCGGCGCAUUAGCUAGUUGGUGAGGUAACGGCUCACCAAGGCGAUGAUGCGUAGCCGACCUGAGAGGGUAAUCGGCCACAUUGGGACUGAGACACGGCCCAGACUCCUACGGGAGGCAGCAGUAGGGAAUCUUCCACAAUGGACGUAAGUCUGAUGGAGCAACGCCGCGUGAGUGAAGAAGGGUUUCGGCUCGUAAAGCUCUGUUGUUAAAGAAGAACGUGGGUGAGAGUAACUGUUCACCCAGUGACGGUAUUUAACCAGAAAGCCACGGCUAACUACGUGCCAGCAGCCGCGGUAAUACGUAGGUGGCAAGCGUUAUCCGGAUUUAUUGGGCGUAAAGCGAGCGCAGGCGGUCUUUUAAGUCUAAUGUGAAAGCCUUCGGCUCAACCGAAGAAGUGCAUUGGAAACUGGGAGACUUGAGUGCAGAAGAGGACAGUGGAACUCCAUGUGUAGCGGUGAAAUGCGUAGAUAUAUGGAAGAACACCAGUGGCGAAGGCGGCUGUCUGGUCUGUAACUGACGCUGAGGCU
This 719-nucleotide ribosomal RNA is filed under the name uncultured Lactobacillaceae bacterium. RNAcentral describes it as "bacterial SSU rRNA". It matches the Rfam family "Bacterial small subunit ribosomal RNA", at positions 65 to 753 of the family's 1533-position model. Lineage: Bacteria; Bacillati; Bacillota; Bacilli; Lactobacillales; Lactobacillaceae. The record is from RNAcentral.